RNAcentral lists this ribosomal RNA (459 nucleotides) under uncultured bacterium. Its description in RNAcentral is "partial 16S ribosomal RNA". It matches the Rfam family "Bacterial small subunit ribosomal RNA", at positions 338 to 795 of the family's 1533-position model. The record is from RNAcentral.
CCUACGGGAGGCAGCAGUGAGGAAUAUUGGUCAAUGGGCGGAAGCCUGAACCAGCCAAGUAGCGUGCGGGAUGAAGGCCCUACGGGUCGUAAACCGCUUUUGCACGGGGAUAACACCCUCCACUUGUGGAGGUCUGCAGCUACCGUGCGAGUCAGGGCCGGCUAAUUCCGUGCCAGCAGCCGGGGUAAUACGGGAGGGCCGAGGGUUAUCCGGUUUGGUUGGGGUUAAAGGGAAGGUAGGGGGGCGUUCAAGUCAACGGUAAAAUCGAGCGGGUCAACCGAGCCCCGAAGUUGAAACUGGGAGACUUGAGUGCAGAAGAGGCAGGCGGAAUUCGAGGUGUAGCGGUGAAAUGCAUAGAUAUCACGAGGAACCCCGAUGGCGAAGGCAGCCCUCCGGUGUGCGACUGACGCUGAGGUUCGAAGGUGUGGGUAUCAAACAGGAUUAGAUACCCUUGUAGUC